UCAAGUGACUAAGUGCAUGUGGUGGAUGCCUUGGCGAUUACAGGCGAUGAAGGACGUAGUAGCCUGCGAUAAGCUGCGGGGAGCUGGCAAACAAGCUUUGAUCCGCAGAUUUCCGAAUGGGGAAACCCACUCCGCAAGGAGUAUCCCACGCUGAAUACAUAGGCGUGUGGAGGCGAACGCAGUGAACUGAAACAUCUAAGUAGCUGCAGGAAAAGAAAUCAACCGAGAUUCCGAAAGUAGUGGCGAGCGAAAUCGGAGCAGCCGGUGCGUGAUAGUCGAUAGGUUAACAGAACGGCAUGGAAAGGCCGGCCAUAGCGGGUGAUAGCCCCGUAUGUGAAAACCCUUCGGUGGUACUGAGCGCACGACAAGUAGGGCGGGACACGUGAAAUCCUGUCUGAAGAUGGGGGGACCAUCCUCCAAGGCUAAAUACUCGUAAUCGACCGAUAGUGAACAAGUACCGUGAGGGAAAGGCGAAAAGAACCCCGGGAGGGGAGUGAAAUAGAUCCUGAAACCGCAUGCAUACAAACAGUCGGAGCCUGUAACAGGGUGACGGCGUACCUUUUGUAUAAUGGGUCAGCGACUUACGUUUAGUGGCAAGCUUAACCGUGUAGGGAAGGCGUAGGGAAACCGAGUCCGAACAGGGCGAUUGAGUCGCUAGGCGUAGACCCGAAACCGGAUGAUCUACUCAUGGCCAGGAUGAAGGUGCGGUAACACGUACUGGAGGUCCGAACCGACUACUGUUGCAAAAGUAGCGGAUGAGCUGUGGGUAGGGGUGAAAGGCUAAACAAAUCCGGAAAUAGCUGGUUCUCCCCGAAAACUAUUUAGGUAGUGCGUCAUGUAUUGCUCCGGGGGGUAGAGCACUGUAAUGGUUGGGCGGGUCAUGACGACUUAGCUCGCCAUAGCAAACUCCGAAUACCCGGAAGUAUGAGCAUGGCAGACAGUCCUCGGGUGCUAACGUCCGAGGUCGAGAGGGAAACAACCCAGACCGCCAGCUAAGGUCCCAAAUUACCGCUAAGUGGGAAACGAAGUGGGAAGGCUAAAACAGUCAGGAGGUUGGCUUAGAAGCAGCCAUCCUUUAAAGAAAGCGUAAUAGCUCACUGAUCGAGUCGUCCUGCGCGGAAGAUGUAACGGGGCUAAGCGGUAAACCGAAGCUGCGGAUGCACAGUAAUGUGCGUGGUAGGGGAGCGUUCUGUAAGUCUGCGAAGGUGAGUCGUAAGGCUUGCUGGAGAUAUCAGAAGUGCGAAUGCUGACAUGAGUAGCGUUAAAGCAGGUGAAAGGCCUGCUCGCCGAAAGCGCAAGGUUUCCUACGCAACGUUCAUCGGCGUAGGGUGAGUCGGCCCCUAAGGUGAGGGCGAAAGCCGUAGCUGAUGGGAAGCUGGUUAAUAUUCCAGCACCGUCUCUGAAUGCGAUGGGGGGACGGAUCGUGGAAAGUUGUCCGGGUGUUGGAAGUCCCGGUUCUUGGUCUGUAGGUGUCCGGUAGGCAAAUCCGCCGGGCGUAUGCCGAGGGAUUGAGACGAGCGAGCUUGCUCGCGAAGCAACUGGAAGGGGUCCCAGGAAAAGCCUCUAAGCUUCAGUUCAGAGCGACCGUACCGCAAACCGACACUGGUGCGCGAGAUGAGUAUUCUCAGGCGCUUGAGAGAACUCGGGAGAAGGAACUCGGCAAAUUGACACCGUAACUUCGGAAGAAGGUGUGCCUUUGUAGUUUGAGUGUGAACAACACAAGGACGAAGAGGUUGCAAAAAAUCGGUGGCUGCGACUGUUUACCAAAAACACAGCACUCUGCAAACACGAAAGUGGACGUAUAGGGUGUGACGCCUGCCCGGUGCCGGAAGGUUAAAUGAUGGGGUGCAAGCUCUUGAUUGAAGCCCCGGUAAACGGCGGCCGUAACUAUAACGGUCCUAAGGUAGCGAAAUUCCUUGUCGGGUAAGUUCCGACCU
Molecule: ribosomal RNA, 1937 nt
Filed under: activated sludge metagenome
Description: bacterial LSU rRNA
Rfam family: Bacterial large subunit ribosomal RNA
Source: RNAcentral